CCGGCGCUAACACCGCCGGCCCCGAAAUGGAGUGGCGGCCUGUCCGCGGCGACCUCUGCGUAGUAAUAUCCACUCGCACCGGGACCCGGGCGCGGCCACGCCGUUAAACACCCCACCUUCCGAAUGUUGACCUCGAAUCAGGUAGGAAUACCCGCUGAACUUAAGCAUAUCAAUAAGCGGAGGAAAAGAAACCAACAGGGAUUGCCCCAGUAACGGCGAGUGAAGCGGCAACAGCUCAAAUUUGAAAUCUGGUCCCCAGGGCCCGAGUUGUAAUUUGUAGAGGAUGCUUUUGGCGAGGCGCCUUCCGAGUUCCCUGGAACGGGACGCCACAGAGGGUGAGAGCCCCGUCUGGUCGGAUGCCAAGCCUAUGUAAAGCUCCUUCGACGAGUCGAGUAGUUUGGGAAUGCUGCUCAAAAUGGGAGGUAUAUGUCUUCUAAAGCUAAAUACCGGCCAGAGACCGAUAGCGCACAAGUAGAGUGAUCGAAAGAUGAAAAGCACUUUGAAAAGAGGGUUAAAAAGUACGUGAAAUUGUUGAAAGGGAAGCGCCUAUGACCAGACUUGGGCCCGGUGAAUCAUCCAGCGUUCUCGCUGGUGCACUUUGCCGGGCACAGGCCAGCAUCAGUUUGGCGCGGGGGAUAAAGGCUUCGGGAAUGUGGCUCCCCUCGGGGAGUGUUAUAGCCCGUUGUGUAAUACCCUGCGCCGGACUGAGGUACGCGCUCCGCAAGAUGCGUUUCUAAGUGCAGCGU
RNAcentral lists this ribosomal RNA (746 nucleotides) under Parengyodontium album. RNAcentral describes it as "eukaryotic LSU rRNA". The stretch from base 128 to 746 matches the Rfam family "Eukaryotic large subunit ribosomal RNA", at positions 1 to 631 of the family's 3401-position model. The record is from RNAcentral. Lineage: Eukaryota; Fungi; Ascomycota; Sordariomycetes; Hypocreales; Cordycipitaceae.